This 253-nucleotide ribosomal RNA is filed under the name uncultured bacterium. RNAcentral's name for it is "partial 16S ribosomal RNA". It matches the Rfam family "Bacterial small subunit ribosomal RNA", at positions 524 to 776 of the family's 1533-position model. The record is from RNAcentral.
UACGUAGGUGGCGAGCGUUGUCCGGAUUUACUGGGCGUAAAGAGCGCGCAGGCGGUCGUUCAAGUCGCGUGUGAAAGCCCCCGGCUCAACUGGGGAGGGUCACGCGAUACUGAUCGACUCGAAGGCAGGAGAGGGAAGUGGAAUUCCCGGUGUAGUGGUGAAAUGCGUAGAUAUCGGGAGGAACACCAGUGGCGAAGGCGACUUCCUGGCCUGUACUUGACGCUGAGGCGCGAAAGCUAGGGGAGCAAACGGG